Molecule: ribosomal RNA, 364 nt
Filed under: Vibrio renipiscarius
Lineage: Bacteria; Pseudomonadati; Pseudomonadota; Gammaproteobacteria; Vibrionales; Vibrionaceae
Description: bacterial SSU rRNA
Rfam family: Bacterial small subunit ribosomal RNA
Source: RNAcentral
GACGUCAAGUCAUCAUGGCCCUUACGAGUAGGGCUACACACGUGCUACAAUGGCGCAUACAGAGGGCUGCCAACCAGCGAUGGUGAGCGAAUCCCAAAAAGUGCGUCGUAGUCCGGAUUGGAGUCUGCAACUCGACUCCAUGAAGUCGGAAUCGCUAGUAAUCGUGAAUCAGAAUGUCACGGUGAAUACGUUCCCGGGCCUUGUACACACCGCCCGUCACACCAUGGGAGUGGGCUGCAAAAGAAGUGGGUAGUUUAACCUUUCGAGGAGGACGCUCACCACUUUGUGGUUCAUGACUGGGGUGAAGUCGUAACAAGGUAGCGCUAGGGGAACCUGGCGCUGGAUCACCUCCUUAUACGAUGAU